AGUGAACGCUGGCGGCAGGCCUAACACAUGCAAGUCGAACGGCAGCACCGUAAGAGUUUGCUCUUACGGGUUGCCAAUCGCGGACGGGUCAGGUAUAUAUCGGGCUCUACUUUUUCGUGUGGGUUCACGUAUGGCAACUUACGCCAUUACCGCAUCCGACCUAUGGUUUAAAGCAGGGGAUCUUCUGACCUUGCGCGGUUGUAUGCGCCGUUGUCGUAUUAGUUCGUUGGCUGGGUAAAGUCCCACCAAGGCGACGAUCCGUAGCUGAUCUGAGAGAAUGAUCAGCCACACUGGAACUGAGACACGGUCCAGACUACUACGGGAGGCAGCAGUGGGGUAUGUGAGGCAAUGGGCGCAAGCCUGAUCCAGCGAUACCACGUGUGAGAAGAAGGCCUUCGGGUUGUAAAGCCCUUUUGUUGGGAGAGAAAAGCAGCAGGUUGAUACGCCGCUUUACUGACGGUACUGAGAGAAUAAGCACAGGCUAACUUCGUG
This 492-nucleotide ribosomal RNA is filed under the name uncultured bacterium. RNAcentral's name for it is "partial 16S ribosomal RNA". It matches the Rfam family "Bacterial small subunit ribosomal RNA", at positions 29 to 507 of the family's 1533-position model. The record is from RNAcentral.